UGCCAGCAGCCGCGGUAACACGGGGGGCGCAAGCGUUAUUCGGAAUUAUUGGGCGUAAAGCGCGUGUAGGCGGUUCGUUAAGUCUGAUGUGAAAGCCCGGGGCUCAACCCCGGAAGUGCAUUUGAAACUGUCUUUCUUGAGGAUAGAUGGAGAAAGCGGAAUUCCGUAUGUAGCGGUGGAAUGCGUAGAUAUACGGAAGAACACCCGUGGCGAAAGCGGCUUUCUAAUUUAUUUCUGACGCUGAGGCGCGAAAGCGUGGGGAGCAAACAGGAUUAGAUA
RNAcentral lists this ribosomal RNA (279 nucleotides) under uncultured bacterium. RNAcentral's name for it is "partial 16S ribosomal RNA". It matches the Rfam family "Bacterial small subunit ribosomal RNA", at positions 506 to 784 of the family's 1533-position model. The record is from RNAcentral.